UCUUCUACUUCGUCAUCGAGCAGCUUGGUCAUUCUACAAAAACACAAUUAAAGAUUCCACACAAUCUCAGAGUGAAGUGCAACCCUUUUCUCUAAUUAGUUUCGAGUGGGUUGUUCCUUACCGUUUACCCCGUGUAGCUCGGGUUGUACGAUCCAAGAACACCAUUUGCUCUUCUUCUUUAUCGCUUUCCAUUGAUAUAACUAACUUGCUCCUGCAAAAGUCUUUAAAGAAGCUUACGGGUUGCGAGUUUCGGAUUCAAAGGAUGAAACUUUAUGAGGUUGGAGGAGUUUCUUCGACGAGCACGUUCCUCGCCGGUGACUCGCCGCAAUGUGAUUAAACUCUUUCAGAUGGUUUGGAUCUCGUGCAGCUAUAGUUAAUGGGCUUUAUGUAUUAUUGGGCCUUCUAAUACAGCAAUUUAAAAGCCCGUGUUAUAUUAGUCACCACUAUUGAAACUACAAAUCUUCUUCGUGCAUGUGAAAAACUGUAGGAUGUCUAGUUGACAAAAAAAAAAAGAGUUUGUAGGAUGUGUAAUGGUUGUCAUGUUUCUGAUUUUCCGAUCUUUCAUUUAUUAGAUUAGUCAUCACAUUUAAAACUAAAAAGUAAUGGUUAUUGUUGAUGAGUUUUCCGCAAGAAACUUGGGAGACAAGGAAAUGACAAAAGGUGAUGUGUUCUUGACCAAGGAAGAAAAAGAGAGAACAAUAACAAAUUGCUUUAUUCGUUACAAACACACAAAGUACUUAAAAUUAAUAGUUUUCUAUGGACAAAACACACAUAUGUUGAUGAAAAAUGAACUCUCACAUUGAUAGCGAUAGUUUGAAAAAAAUUAAUUAAUAUAAAAUGAUGUAACUAUCCGCCAAUUAUCUUUAAACCCAUGCUAAAUCUGAAUUUGACUAGAUCCAUAUUUUUAAUCCAUCAACUGUCGAGAAACGCCCAUAGCAUCAAGCGAAUCUACAGUCUCUUGUCAUUCUGGCAAACCAGCUUCUUGAUAUGGAAUCUUCACAUUCUUCAGCCUAAUAGGAAACCCGGACUGGGUGGUCCGGCUUACGACAUUCUUAAACCUCGCUGUGUUGUGAGGCGUCGAGACAAUCGUUACCGCCACACCGCGCUGAGCCAAGAGCCGUGCUAUCAACCAUGUGGAUCAUGUGGCCUUGAACAUCAACGGGAAGAACAAAGUGAAUACUAGGAUGGAAUUGUUGGGUUAUUCUGAAGCCAUGAAGAAUUCUCUUAAGUGUUUUGGUCUUAUUUUGAUUUGUCGGGUUUCUCAUGAAAAAAGGAAAAAGAAAAGGUUAGAGAGUCAAGGAAAGAGAGAAAGCGAUGUUUGAGAGAACAUGUAAGCAAAUUGGCUUAUUGCUUAGGGAGCCACGUUCCGUGGCGGCCCACUCACAUGUGUUCUUUUGUACUCAUAAACCACAAACAAAUAAGAGAAUAUCUUCAUGAGUACGUCGAAAACAAAGUGAAAAGUGUUCACAGCCGCAAAAUUAACGAAAAAAAUCAAACGUGGGUUCUCUAUUUAUCUCUUUGGACAACUACAUAUUCUACAUAUCAAAAUUCAAAAAUAACAUCUGAAAAACAAAAUAAGUGAUAAAAACAUAACUUAUUUUGACAGAUAAUAUUUUGGUAAAUCGUUAAAAAAUUAAACUAACUAAAUAAAUGUAAGUAAAUUUUUUUUUUGUUUUUUUGAUAAGUAUGUGAAUCUCAUUAAACGAAUAAUGAAGCAGAGAGAUACAAUCGGCUUUGACGAAUCUAAUCCUAAUGUAUCUAAGUCGCUAAGUCAGAAGACAAAGCAGAUGUGUGUUAGGUAGCCAUAAAAAAAAAUAAAAAAGACUAACUAAGACAAAGAAG
Molecule: long non-coding RNA, 1842 nt
Organism: Brassica rapa (field mustard)
Lineage: Eukaryota; Viridiplantae; Streptophyta; Magnoliopsida; Brassicales; Brassicaceae
Source: RefSeq, a predicted model, not a curated record